This 73-nucleotide transfer RNA is filed under the name Candidatus Fusicatenibacter intestinigallinarum. RNAcentral's name for it is "tRNA-Met". It matches the Rfam family "tRNA". Rfam says of the family: Transfer RNA (tRNA) molecules are approximately 80 nucleotides in length. The record is from RNAcentral. Lineage: Bacteria; Bacillati; Bacillota; Clostridia; Lachnospirales; Lachnospiraceae.
UGCGAGGUAGAGCAGAGGGCAGCUCGCCAGCCUCAUAAGCUGGAGGUCGCAGGUUCGAAUCCUGCCCGCGCAA